CCUCCCUCUUGCUGCGUGCUUAACACAUGCAAGUCGAACGCUGAAGCUCAGCUUUUGUUGGGUGGAUGAGUGGCGAACGGGUGAGUAACACGUGAGUAACCUGCCCCCUUCUUUGGGAUAACGCCCGGAAACGGGUGCUAAUACUGGAUAUUCACUGGUCUUCGCAUGGGGGUUGGUGGAAAGGGUUUUUCUGGUGGGGGAUGGGCUCGCGGCCUAUCAGCUUGUUGGUGGGGUGAUGGCCUACCAAGGCUUUGACGGGUAGCCGGCCUGAGAGGGUGACCGGUCACAUUGGGACUGAGAUACGGCCCAGACUCCUACGGGAGGCAGCAGUGGGGAAUAUUGCACAAUGGGCGCAAGCCUGAUGCAGCGACGCCGCGUGAGGGAUGGAGGCCUUCGGGUUGUGAACCUCUUUCGCUCAUGGUCAAGCCGCAACAAUGGUUGUGGUGAGGUUAGUGGGUAAAGAAGCGCCGGCUAACUACGUG
Molecule: ribosomal RNA, 482 nt
Filed under: uncultured bacterium
Lineage: Bacteria
Description: partial 16S ribosomal RNA
Rfam family: Bacterial small subunit ribosomal RNA
Source: RNAcentral